AUGAACAUUCGACCUGAACUCAGACGGAA
Molecule: ribosomal RNA, 29 nt
Filed under: Globodera rostochiensis
Lineage: Eukaryota; Metazoa; Nematoda; Chromadorea; Rhabditida; Heteroderidae
Description: partial 28S ribosomal RNA
Source: RNAcentral